RNAcentral lists this small RNA (614 nucleotides) under Histoplasma capsulatum. RNAcentral's name for it is "hypothetical RNA". Lineage: Eukaryota; Fungi; Ascomycota; Eurotiomycetes; Onygenales; Ajellomycetaceae. The record is from RNAcentral. RNAcentral also lists the same sequence under 1 other name.
UUGGCCACUCUGUGCAGUGCAUCGUAACAUAGAUUUCCUUCAUCUUCAUGAUUUUCUUGUGUUCAUCUCUAUAUCAGAUUCUAUACGCUCUCAAUAGAAUUUAGAUCAGAGGAAAAUGCAGGUCAAUCUAUAGCGAUAAUUCCAGUGUAGUGUCAGCUGCAGCAUACUCUGAAUCUCUAGUUUUCAUCAAUUGUAAGUCAAAAUUAAGUUGCAUUCAAUCACGAAUAAAAUGGACUAUAAGUCCACAGGAGAAUACCCCUAGAGAUUGUAUAUUGUAAGAAUUAACUCUGUAUUUAUUCAAAUAUUCAACCAUAAUCAAUUUGAUUGGUUCGUCUCAAAUUUUUCUUCUAGAAUAUGACUAGAUUUUUAUAUAUCAUUAAAGCAAUUUUAGAACAUCUAUCCGCUUUGUGUAAUGGCUUCUAGGCACAGGCAGGCCCAUAAGCACAACAACAGCUGCCGCUAUUACUAUAUAUGGUUAAAAACCCGAUGGGGAUAUGGUAUCACUUUAGCUCUGUUUAUUAUAUAAGAAUUCAGCUCUUCUUCUAUUCUAUGAUCAAUUUUGAAAUCUUUGAUACACUCUUCAAUAUCAUCUAUCGGCUUCUCACUUUAUUGAC